Molecule: ribosomal RNA, 484 nt
Filed under: uncultured bacterium
Lineage: Bacteria
Description: partial 16S ribosomal RNA
Rfam family: Bacterial small subunit ribosomal RNA
Source: RNAcentral
AUUGAACGCUGGCGGCAUGCCUAACACAUGCAAGUCGAGCGGAUGAAGGGAGCUUGCUCCUGGAUGCAGCGGCGGACGGGUGAGUAAUGCCCAGGAAUCUGCCUGGUAUUGGGGGAUAACGUCCGGAAACGGGCGCUAAUAUCGCAUACGACCAGAGGGUGAAAGUGGGGGAUCUUCGGACCUCACGCUAUCUGAUGAGCCUAGGUCGGAUUAGCUAGUUGGUGGGGUAAAGGCCUACCAAGGCGACGAUCCGUAACUGGUCUGAGAGGAUGAUCAGCCACACUGGAACUGAGACACGUUCCAGACUCCUACGGUAGGCAGCAGUGGGGAAUAUUGGGCAAUGGGCGAAAGCCUGAUCCAGCCAUGCCGCGUGUGUGAUGAAGGUCUUCGGAUUGUAAAGCACUUUAAGUUGGGAGGAAGGGCAGUAAGUUUAUACCUUGCUAUUUUGACGGUACCAACAGAAUAAGCACCGGCUAACUUCGUG